Molecule: long non-coding RNA, 927 nt
Organism: Myotis daubentonii (Daubenton's bat)
Lineage: Eukaryota; Metazoa; Chordata; Mammalia; Chiroptera; Vespertilionidae
Source: RefSeq, a predicted model, not a curated record
CCAUCAAUGCUUAGGUACCAUCAGGACCUACUCCCUGAAGCUCAGGUGGGGAGUGGCUAGAAUGCAUUUGGAGGGAUGGCAAAUGACCAACCUCCUCUCUCUUUUCUCACCAGAUUUAAUCAAUAAGAAUACUGGAUGCUCAAUUAGAUUUGAAUUUCAGAUCAACAAUGAACAACUUUUAGUACAAUAUGUCCCAGAGUCCAAAUGACACAUACUUUUGCUAAUAUUAUUUGUGGCUUAUCUGGCAUUCAAACUACACUAGAAAGCUUGUAUUUUAUCUGAGGACCCUACCCCCUGCCUAGGGCACAUGCCCCAGCUCCUGUGGAGCUCCUGGACAGUGACUAUUGAAGCACAAUCCCCAAGAUUGCCUCCAGCGGCUAAGGAGGCCUCCGGCCUGGCCGGGACGGGGCCAGCCAGCACAGAAACUGGCCUCAGGAGUCCGGGGCUCCCAGCAGGGGACAAGAUCCUGAGCACCAUGAACAGGUUCAUGAGCUUCCCUGGUCUCCGCAGUCUUCCUCUGGCUUCCAGUUAGUUACACAGUCCUCUGGGCUGAAGAGCAGAGCAGCCAGGCUCUGCUACCCGCUGAGUGGAGACUGUCCAGACCACAGAUGGAAGCCUGAUCCCUAAAUGAGGCACUGGUCUCAGAUGAUGCUGGUUGGUGUGGACUCUGUCGACCUUGGGGGACUGUCACUGGAAAAGGAGGUUGAUCCAUGUGAUCAUAUACCUCUGAGAUGUGUUGCCAGGAUUUGUCCCGUCUCCGAAUCCCAUGAGGGGAGGGAGCAUCGGCUGAGUAACUCCCAGGAACCACUGGCCGAGGACAAGAACCAACCUGCUCGGGCCGGACCUGAGAGUUGACCAGAAGGUGGACGACUGAGUCAGACAGGCCAAUGUUUCUCAUGAGAAAGAGUGUCAGCGUUUCUUCGUCUC